CUAUGGUUUAUUGGAUCGUACCCGUUAAAUGGAUAACUGUAAUAACUCUAGAGCUAAUACAUGCCUCGAUGCCCUAACUCUGUCGGCUUGCUGCUCGCCUGCGCUGCGUGUAGGUGGUGGCAGGCAGGUAGGCAGGCAGGGUGUGGGUGCACUUAUUAGAUCAGAAGCCAACCAACUGCUCGAACGUUGCGUGUGCAGUGCACUGCUGUAGGCGUGCGUGCGAGUGUUGAGAGGAGACCGCUUCUGGUGACUCUGGAUAAUUGUUACAGAUCGCAGUCGGCCUUGAGUCGGCGACGGGUCCUUCAAAUGUCUGCCCUAUCAACUGUCGAUGGUAGGUGACCUGCCUACCAUGGUGAUAACGGGUAACGGGGAAUCAGGGUUCGAUUCCGGAGAGGGAGCCUGAGAAACGGCUACCACUUCCAAGGGAGGCAGCAGGCGCGCAAAUUACCCACUCCCGGCACGGGGAGGUGGUGACGAAAAAUACCGAUGCGGGACUCCCUCAAGAGGCUCCGUAAUCGGAAUGAGUGGACUCUAAAUCCUUUCACGAGGAUCAAUUGGAGGGCAAGUCUGGUGCCAGCAGCCGCGGUAACUCCAGCUCCAAUAGCGUAUAUUAAAGUUGCUGCAGUUAAAAAGCUCGUAGUUGGAUCUCGGUAGCAUUGUUGCCUGCUGGUAAUUGAGCGGCCGGUGUGUGGUCAACGGUGCGCGGUCGCGCCGGCACACGGUCUGCGUGUGAGCGUGUGGUGAGCGCGGGUCGGUUGGUAGGUUGGCAGGCGAGCUGGUUGGUCGUUGUCGCUGCUGCUGCCGCUAUUGCCGGGUAGUUGGCUAGCUGGCUGGCUGACUGGCUGAGCGGUUGGUUGGCGGGACGGCUGGGUGGUUUGCUUACUGGCUGGACUAACUGGUGCGACGCCCACUACUGCCGCUUGCGUGCAGUGGGUGUGUGUUGGCAGGGAUUGUGUUGCCGUGGCCAUGAAGAAGCACUGUCGUGUCAGGCUGGCAAGGCGAUGGUGUCACCUUUGAGCCAUGUCUGCGGUGUAACAGCUGCAGGUGUGGACGGGUGUUAGGCGGCGCUCUGCACACGUUGUGGAGUCUGUCGGCUCGUCUGCAUGCCUUUGGAUGCCCUUGAAAAGGUGUCUGCGGGCGGAUGGCACGUUUACUUUGAACAAAUUUGAGUGCUCAAAUCAGGCCGAUGUUGCCUGAAAAGUUUUGCAUGGAAUAAUGGAAUAGGACUUCGGUUCUAUUUCGUUGGUUUUCGGAUCCGAAGUAAUGAUCAAAAGAGACAGGCGGGGACGUUUGUAUGGCUGCGCUAGAGGUGAAAUUCAUGGACCGUAGCCAGACAAACUAAAGCGAAAGCAUUCGUCAAGCAUGUUUUCAUUGGCCAUGAGCGAAAGUCAGAGGCUCGAAGACGAUCAGAUACCGUCCUAGUUCUGACCAUAAACGAUGCCAACUGACGAUCCGUGGUGGUAGUAAUGUUACCUUCCCCACGGGCAGUCCCCGGGAAACCUUUAAGUGUUUGGGUUCCGGGGGAAGUAUGGUUGCAAAGCUGAAACUUAAAGGAAUUGACGGAAGGGCACCACCAGGAGUGGAGCCUGCGGCUUAAUUUGACUCAACACGGGAAAACUCACCCGGGCCGGACACUAUGAGGAUUGACAGAUUGAGAGCUCUUUCUUGAUUUGGUGGUUGGUGGUGCAUGGCCGUUCUUAGUUGGUGGAGCGAUUUGUCUGGUUAAUUCCGAUAACGAACGAGACUCCAACCUGCUAAUUAGUGCGUUUGUCCACUGCGCCUGCGUAGGUGACGUUGGAUGACAUCACCUGUCGCGAGGGCGUGGCAGCGACUCUUGUCUCUGCUUCUCCGCCCCAAUGCCCUCCAGCGCCUGCUCCGGCUCCUCCUGCUCCCGCUGCUGCUGCUCCUCCUCCUCCUCCUCGUCCUGCAGCGCCUCUCCUGGCUUGCUGGCUGGCUAGCCGGCUGGCUGGGUGAGGAGGUGCUGGCGGAGGCGGUGGUGGUGGUGGUGGUGGUGGUGGUGGUGGUGAGGGUAAUGGGGUUGGGGAUGGUGCAGGUGGGCGGGUGGAUUGUGGUGGAGGUGUAGGGUUGGGCCGGGCGCUCGUGGCCGGUUAGUCUAGCGUUGGCCUCCGGGUGUGGCGCGAAUGCCUACUUCUUAGAGGGACAAGCGGGAGAAGCCGCACGAAAUAGAGCAAUAACAGGUCUGUGAUGCCCUUAGAUGUCCGGGGCCGCACGCGCGCUACAAUGACGGUGUCAACGAGUCAGGCCUUCUGGCCCGAAAGGGUUGGGCAAACUGGUCAAUCACCGUCGUGACAGGGAUCGGGGCUUGGAAUUGUUCCCCGUGAACGAGGAAUUCCUAGUAAGUGCAAGUCAUAAGCUUGCGCUGAUUACGUCCCUGCCCUUUGUACACACCGCCCGUCGCUACUACCGAUUGAAUGGUUUAGUAAGGUCCUUGGAUUAGCGUCAUUGCGGUGGUGGCCGAGAGGUCGCAGCCCGGCGGGCGCUGAGAAGACGACCGAACUUGAUCAUUUAGA
This 2531-nucleotide ribosomal RNA is filed under the name Taenia ovis (sheep tapeworm). RNAcentral describes it as "SSU rRNA". It matches the Rfam family "Eukaryotic small subunit ribosomal RNA". The record is from RNAcentral. Lineage: Eukaryota; Metazoa; Platyhelminthes; Cestoda; Cyclophyllidea; Taeniidae.